CGCGCGUCUGUCGCCGCCCCUCUCAGCCUUACCUCUUGCUCGCCUCGCGCCUGGAGGGUGAGAUGCCCAUCGCAUUGCUCGGACCUCUACACACGUCCUUUUCUCCGCGAGCUGUCUGUGGGCCAUGAGCGUGGAGGAGAACGUCACCCGCGCACUAGCGGACACUUUUCGGACAUGCUCGGAAUUCAUUGGAGCCGUCUCCGCACGCGAGAUGCCGGAUAACCCCAGCGUACAGUUGUGCAUCCUCAGCAUCGGUUUCGAUGUUGAGGGCGCCAUCGCGCAGCUGCUGCACCAGCGCAUGGCUCGGAACAAGCCACACCGACGUGUUUACUGCGUGGUCGUCCCCGGCCGCCUUCUUCCCGGGGCGAUGACACGCUUCGCCAGCGCCAUUGAGCAUCACCUGGCGCUGAGGCACGCGGGGGAGACAUUAACGCGUCAAGCCGAUGCAUCAGCUGCAGCGGCGUCCUGUCUGGCGCCUCCUAUUCCGGUGGUUGCUGUUGAAGAGGGCACGGGCACCAAGGAGCGCUGCGCGGUGUUUCAGCGCGGGGCGGUGGUGGUUCUUACCAGUCACUCUCUGUGCGCCGAUCUGCUGCACCGGCGGCUAGCGGUGGAGCUGGUUGGAAUGGCUGUGCUGGCGUUGCCGCAUUCACUGCUGGGCAGCGGCCGACAAGAAGAUGCGCUGGCGCCGCAGACGGCCUUCUGCGCUGAGCUGCUGCUGCGUAGUGGCAGCGGUGCGGCUGGCGGGCAGAGACCCCCGCCCAUUGUCCUUGUCUCGGAUGCGCCGGUGCUCAUGCGGAGUCUUGUACAACGGCAUCACUUGGGGGCGGAGCGGUUUGUGCAGCAGAUGCACGUUGGUGACGUUCAGCUGUUCCCGCGAUUUCGCCUGGACUUUGUGCGGCACUUUGAGGAGCUCAGUCGCAGCCCGCGGCGUUCAUUGGCUGUGGACCGUGUUGUGGCUCCCGUAUCGGCGAGCGUCUUGGCCCUGGACGAUCUCCUCGCGAAGAUUGUGUUGGAGACGCUGCAGGAGCUGCAGCGAUUGGAGAAGCAGCUUCACAUGCAGAAGAGCGCCAGCGGUGGCGACCGCGCCGCCUGGGCCUCGGAUGCGGGGGGCUCACACCCUCACACGCGGUCCUUUGCGGCUCGGUGUGCUGCGGCUGCGGCAGAAGCCGACGAGGAUACCGACGCGCUCCGCUUCCUGCCGCGUGCCAGGCUCACGGCAAGUACCGCAAAAGACCAUCUCGACUACAGCGGCUACCCGCGCAGCAACACGGCCAGGGGCACCAGUGCUGCAUCGUACAUCCGCCACGGCUGGCGUGCAGCGACGCAGUGCGACGACAAGGGCAUUCUCUUUAGCGGCAUCAGCGAGACGGCGGCUCUCUCGGUGGACUUCUCCGACCUCGACGGCGAUCUUCGCGCGGUGGUGCGCUGUCACGAGUCUCACUGGCCAUACCGCCUCCUCACGGAAAGUCUCAUCGACGUGCGGCGACUGCGCCGUGCUGCGCGUGGAACUGCGUACACGUUUCUUCUCGAGCUGGAGUCCGUGCUGGAGCGCCGACUGCCCCGGCGCAGCGUCUACGGCACCGGCACAACGCCACCUGCCGCGCUGUGGACUCUCUCUUCUCACUUCCACGACGUUGUAACGGUCGCAACACACCGCAUCGGGACCGUGGUGUACAAACGCAGUGCUGCCUCCGUCGCGCUCUCCACCCCUACGAAAGGUGAGGCGACGCGUCCUGCGAGCUCUGCUGAAGAUGUGGUCGUGGUGGUGGACAGCAACAGCGACAGCGAGGAGAAGCGCGAGGGGCUACAGGAUGUCGUCUCGACCUCUGCCACUGCCGCGCCGCCCGGCCAGGUGGCGACCUCGGCGGGUCGCACAAUGGUGCCUCAGCUCAUACCCAAUGUGGAGGAGCACGAAACAGACGUGGAGGUGGUGGUGCGGCUGGUGGUGAGCUGGUGUCGCACAGUGUUGCGCCGUGCCGAACGCAAAGGCAACGCCGCGACCGAUGCUUCAGCAGCUCAACCCACCCUCCUGCUUCUUACUCUCGGCCCCAACGCCGUCGUGCGCUACACGGAGCGCCUCACAAACUCGCUGGAGGCUUACCAGCAACUGCAGCUUCGGCGCUUCAUGCGGGUGUACCAGUCCAAGUACGGCGUGGAGUUGACUGAGUUCGUCGAGGCCCAGUCAGCAGAGGUUGCGGCGCCGCAGCUGGCUACAGAACUCUUCACCAGCACCGAGGACGUUGAUGACGCCUCCAGCGACGCGGAGGGAGACGUGACGACGGACGAGGACAACGGCACUGAUGGCCGCAGGGAUUUGCGUGCCGCUGCCUCCCUGAGGCGGCGUAUGUCGAGUCAGGGCGGUCGUGCCACCGCCGUCACACGGCGCGAUGCAAGCCCAUCGUACGCUAAUGGAAGCAGUAGCAGCCAGAGGGUGAUGAUGGACAUCGGCGCAGGCGCCUUCCACCAAGCCCUUCUCUCACAGCUGCCACCGCUCCUCACCAGAAGCGGCGAGAGGGCCGACGUGAGGUGCGACAGUGAGCCUCAACCUGCACCACCGGCUUCCCUUGCCACGCCGCUGCUCAUGCUUGAGAGAGUCAGGGAGGGGGUUGUGACGCUCUGCCCCGGCUGCCGUGGCGCCAGCGGGGACGGCAGCGCCACCGUCCCCUCUCCUUUCGAGCGGAUGCCACGCGUGCUGGUGUUCGACGCAUCCGCGAUGUCGGCAACGGAGAUGACCAUGCUGCUGGAUGGCUCACACGCUGCUCUGCAACUUGAUGUCCCGUCGACGGCAGCGCCGCGGAUGUCUGGCGCGCCCACCAACGGUCCCAAGGGGACUGACAGCGUCAGGACCUCCCUGCGCGUUGAGCGCGUUGUGUUGGCGCGCCAGGAGCUGGCGCUUCUCCGUCAGCUUGAGAUGGCGCAGGACGAGCUGCCGGCGGAGCGGCUUUCCACUAUCAAGGUGCAGCUCAUCACGACCAGCCUAGCGGAGCUGGACUUCAAGAAGGCAGUGCAGGCGGAGCAGCAGGCCUUCGAGAGCCUCGCGCACACGAAAGCCACACUGACCGGGACGCUGCUCGUUGACCAGACGUCGUUGCGGCAGACAGAGGAGGCGUUGGAGAGUGGCAUGCAGGUUGCGCGGAGUCGUCUUGGCCCGCGCAAGGGUACGGCGGUGGGGCGAUUGGCUGGGACCUUCUUGUACGCGCCUGCCCUUCCGCCCCCGGCGCUGCCGCGCGUCGUGUUUGAUGAGCGUGAGUUCCGCUCCUCGCUGCCGUACCACCUUUACCGUCGCGGAAUGGAGCUCAUCCCUCUGACACUGACGACGGCCGACUACGUCCUCUCCCCUGAGUACGCGGUCGAGCGUAAAAGUGCGCAGGAUUACUUCCAGUCUGUUAUGUCGGGCCGCAUUCAGCGUCAGCUGGCGGCGCUCGCCCGCAAGUAUGCGCACCCGUUGUGUCUCAUAGAGUUCCACCGCGGCAUUCCGUUCCGGCUGAUGCAGAGCGGCAUCUACGCCAAGACGGCGGCACUCAUGGCGGCCUACCCGCGCGUCCGCUUUGUGUGGGCACGCAGCCCUGCGCAUGCGGCGGGUAUGCUGGUGCUCUUGAAGAAGUCCGUCGCGGUCGCCAACGUGGACCCGGCCGAUCCGUUGCUCACAGGCACCUCCAUUGACCCCGGUAGCGCGGCGGACGUGGGCGGCGUGGCGGUCACCGCGGCGGAGCGGGAGACGGCGCAUUACGCGGCACGCGUUCUGUCCAAGUUUCCGGGCAUCACCCACCAGAAUGCGCCCCGUGUGAUGCAGCUCUGCGGCUCGCUGAUCGGACUUGCGACGAUCUCGAAGUCCUCGCUGGUGGCGGUCAUGGGUGAGGAGGACGCAGCGCGGCUGUACAACUUUCUCCAUUCCCCCUUCCAUUAGGAAGUGGACUGAUGCCCUCUUCAUAGCCUCCUUUCCCAAGAGAGGAUGGGAUGGCGUGGGGUGGGUGGAGGCGAGUGGGAUGGAACGGAUGCUUGCGGUGCACAGUGUCGAGCAUCUCGCCCACAUGAUUUCCUGUUGCAGUGUGCACAAGCGUACACAGGCACGCAAGCCACUGCGCUCUGAAGUGGCAUUUCACAAGCGCAAAGCAGCAAAAAAAAAAUGAUGUGUGGGCGAGGCGGCGGCG
Molecule: unclassified non-coding RNA, 4151 nt
Filed under: Leishmania donovani
Lineage: Eukaryota; Euglenozoa; Kinetoplastea; Trypanosomatida; Trypanosomatidae
Description: gene:LdHU3.08.0180(CDS-product:DNA_repair_protein _putative)
Source: RNAcentral